Gadus macrocephalus (Pacific cod) is the source of this 1309-nucleotide long non-coding RNA. RefSeq lists it as uncharacterized. The transcript has 2 exons. Lineage: Eukaryota; Metazoa; Chordata; Actinopteri; Gadiformes; Gadidae. The record is from RefSeq and is a predicted model, not a curated record.
CGCUACAGACCUUCUCAUUGGCCACGUCACGUCGGAGGGGGAGAAGCGAAGAGCAGGCAUUCCUCAGCGCCUCAGACCUCCACCACACCGACACCACCUCUCCUCCGCUCAGGAACACCACCCUCUUACCGCUAUCAACAUGAUGUUCCGGAGCGCCGCUGCUCUCGUGCUCCUCUCCCUGGCGCUCUCCACUGCGGAGGUAAGUUUAGUUAAACGUCACUUUAUGUAUAGACGGACCUUUGGAUGGUAAUUCGUUGAAGGACUGCUGGUGAAAAUCGCUGAUCGCGUUCAGUAGGUAUGGUUUUCUGGUCUCCACGGCCGAACCUAAACUAGUCCGCCUGACCUCACCUCUGGAUCCGUCCGUCCGUCUGCUGGGCUGAUGAGACGGAGUUAUUACCCAUGGGUUCGGUUUAUUAAGAUCAGUUCAACCCAAUCAUUUCAUCUUCCACAUGAAAUUAAUUCAGACCAUAAACUUACCUGAUAGACCCACCGCUACUGACUAAGUAGCCCUGACUGCAUAGCUGCUCGGUGACAUCACGACAGGAAACCCAAAGGAGAGAAGGUUAACUGUUACAUGUUUAUAUGCAUGUGACGUGAUGUCAUUUCAAGAUGUCACAUGUUGACUCUAACUUAACUUUGACCUCCACAGCUAAAAACCCAACAAAAAAAGCAGUCCAAAUUAAUUUUUUGACAUGAUCAAAAUUAUUAUAGACAGCUGCAAUGCGAUGGGAGGAGGGGUUUAAUGUGUAAUACAAGCUGUGUGUGUGUGUGUGUGUGUGUGUGUGUGUGUGUGUGUGUGUGUGUGUGUGUGUGUGUGUGUGUGUGUGUGUGUGUGUGUGUGUGUGUGUGUGUGUGUGCGUGUGCGUGCGUGUGUGUGAGUGUGUGUUUGAGGGGUGGUCUAUGCUAAGCUCUAAGCAAAGUUCCCACAAAACGAAUGUAAUUGCCGACCAAUCAGACACACACACAUACACACACACACACAAAUACACACAUCCCUGUGGAUGACGCAGUGAGUGCCUCUGGUCAGAAGGUUUGUUUCCUUUGAGGGCGUAUAGACCCAUGAGAGCGUCUCACAUCCCCCAGACUGCCACCUCGGCCCUCCAGUGUGAGGUUAUCUGUUUAAAGAUCUGAAGAAACCGAGGUACAAACAGGAACUAACUAAGUUAUGUAAACACACACACACGCAUGACGCACGCACACACACACACACACACACACACACACACACACACACACACACACACACACACACACACACACACACACACACACACACACACACACAAACACCUACACACACACACAAACA